RNAcentral lists this ribosomal RNA (468 nucleotides) under uncultured bacterium. RNAcentral's name for it is "partial 16S ribosomal RNA". It matches the Rfam family "Bacterial small subunit ribosomal RNA", at positions 28 to 507 of the family's 1533-position model. The record is from RNAcentral.
GACGAACGCUGGCGGCGUGCUUAACACAUGCAAGUCGAACGGAAAGGCCCUGCUUUUGUGGGGUGCUCGAGUGGCGAACGGGUGGGUAACACGUGAGUAACCUGCCCUUGACUUUGGGAUAACUUCAGGAAACUGGGGCUAAUACCGGAUAGGAGCUCCUGCUGCAUGGUGGGGGUUGGAAAGUUUCGGCGGUUGGGGAUGGACUCGCGGCUUAUCAGCUUGUUGGUGGGGUAGUGGCUUACCAAGGCCUUGACGGGUAGCCGGCCUGAGAGGGUGACCGGCCACAUUGGGACUGAGAUACGGCCCAGACUCCUACGGGAGGCAGCAGUGGGGAAUAUUGCACAAUGGGCGGAAGCCUGAUGCAGCAACGCCGCGUGCGGGAUGACGGCCUUCGGGUUGUAAACCGCUUUCGCCUGUGACGAAGCGUGAGUGACGGUAAUGGGUAAAGAAGCACCGGCUAACUACGUG